CUUCUUAGCCAGGAUGGCUUCGAUCUCCUGACCUCGAGGACCACCCACUUUCUUACCACACUUUGAGAGGGCAGCCCAGAAUCUUCAGCACUGCAUGGGCGGCUCAUCCUGGAGUCUCACUGUGCACCUUUCCUCAAUGCUGCCUUUCUAGGUAUCCUUGAGGACAGCCUCAGCCUUUAUUGCUGUAUUCCUUCAUGCUACAGGGAGGAGAAGCACCUGUCAGAGUAUAAAAGUGAGCAUACGAUAGUCAAUAAGACUUGCUUCAAUGACUAAGAUAUAUUUCAUUUUUUUGCUUGUUUGUUUGUUUGUUUGUUUGAGACGGAGUCUUGCUCUGUCACCCAGGCUGGAGUGCAAUGGCGUGAUCUCGGCUCACUGCAACCUCCGCCUCCCGGGUUCAAGCAAUUCUCCUGCCUCAGUCUCCUGAGUGCCUGGGAUUACAGGCACCGCCUCCAUGCCUGGAUAAUUUUUGUAUUUUUAGUAGCGACGAGGUUUCACCAUGUUGGCUAGGUUGGUCUCGAGCUCCUGACCUCAGGAAAUCCACCCGCCUUGGCCUCCCAAAGUUCUGAGAUUACAGCCACUGUGCCUGGCUGAGAUAUAUUUCUUACUUGGGCCUACUUGGGCUUAGUGUGGUUGUUUUUAUUUUUAUUUAUUUAUUUUAAUUUUCCUUUUCUUUCUUAGAUACGUGAUAACUUAUUAACUUGCAUUCCGAAUUAUGACUACUAGUGAAGUUGAAAAUGUCUUACGUUUAUUAGACAUUUUUAUUUUUACUUUUAAGUUCCAGGGUACAUGUGCAGGAUGUGCAGGUUUUGUUACCUAGGGAAAUGUAUGCCAUGGUGGCUUGCUGCACCGGUCAACCCAUCACCCAGGAGGAAGAAAUUUCAACGUUUGUGGAUUCCUCUCAGAGAAUAUUUUACACUCAUUAAGUAUGAAAAAAAUGUGUUAUUGCAAAGAAAAGGAAGAAGUAAAUUCUGAUUAUAUAAGCGUCUAGGAAGCAUGGGUGACGCUGCUGACCUAUAGUGCAAUCUCGUUUUAACGAAAAGAAAAGUCUGAAAAAAACUAUGGCAGCCUACACAGCCCAAAUCAAGGCUUUCAUAAGCAGAUAUUGCCACCUUUGGGGCCACUAGAAAAUCAAAUCAAAUCCUUGAGCAAAUUAUAAAACAAUACUCCUAGGAAAUAUUAAAAUAAUGAGUCAUUCUACUUUUCAAAUAUAUGGUGGUAAAAUCACAUUAUAUCUCUGUUUUGUGGUAGUUUUAUUUAAGUGUAUUUUUUAAAGUUAUAUUUUGGUAAAAUUGUUUUUCUAACUUCAUCGUCUUUUGGAAAGCAGUUUUGUUAUAUUUUUCUGUUAGUGUUGGUCACUGAGGGACUAUUUUAUACAUAAAAAAAGGAAUAAUAAAAUUCCUGGCUUCAAUAGGCA
This 1414-nucleotide long non-coding RNA is filed under the name Piliocolobus tephrosceles (Ugandan red Colobus). Its description in RNAcentral is "lncRNA (ENSPTEG00000001889.1)". The record is from RNAcentral. Lineage: Eukaryota; Metazoa; Chordata; Mammalia; Primates; Cercopithecidae.